UUUGAUCCUGGCUCAGGACGAACGCUGGCGGCGUGCUUAACACAUGCAAGUCGAACGGAAAGGCCCUGCUUUUGUGGGGUGCUGGAGUGGCGAACGGGCGAGUAACACGUGAGUAACCUGCCCUUGACUUUGGGAUAACUUCAGGAAACUGGGGCUAAUACCGGAUAGGAGCUCCUGCUGCAUGGUGGGGGUUGGAAAGUUUCGGCGGUUGGGGAUGGACUCGCGGCUUAUCAGCUUGUUGGUGGGGUAGUGGCUUACCAAGGCUUUGACGGGUAGCCGGCCUGAGAGGGUGACCGGCCACAUUGGGACUGAGAUACGGCCCAGACUCCUACGGGAGGCAGCAGUGGGGAAUAUUGCACAAUGGGCGGAAGCCUGAUGCAGCAACGCCGNGUGCGGGAUGACGGCUUAGGGUUGUAAACCGCUUUCGCCUGUGACGAAGCGUGAGUGACGGUAAUGGGUAAAGAAGCACCGGCUAACUACGUGCCAGCAGCCCGCGGUGA
This 500-nucleotide ribosomal RNA is filed under the name uncultured bacterium. Its description in RNAcentral is "bacterial SSU rRNA". It matches the Rfam family "Bacterial small subunit ribosomal RNA", at positions 12 to 523 of the family's 1533-position model. The record is from RNAcentral.